ACUUAACCACAAUUCUGCAUCAUUAAUAUGAAAAAGGAACUGUAAGAAUAAUAUGAUGUUCAUAAAGACAAUUGAAAUUCAAUCAACAGAGACGUCUACAGAUAAAUGCUGGUUCCCAACUUUGAAAUUUUGAAUUUUGAGGUUUCUUCAUAUCUUGCCAAUAUAUUGCAACAUCCCAUUUAGUUCUCAAAUUUUAAUGAAAUCAAAGCGAUGCUUAAAUAAUCAACAGAACCAAGGUACCUACUACCUAUUGGUCUCAACUCCAUCAAAGUAAAUGGUCAAAUUCAAUUUAUUUUCAGAGUUGAUUAGUUUCAUUUCCCAGCUUUCAAGUUUAUGAAGCAAAACAUUAUUCUCCACUGUAGUGCAUUCAGAUAUAAUCACAGAGGUGUACUUGAAUAACAAAGUCAAUUCAAUUUCUGAAACCAUAAUUUUCAGAAGAAAUAAAUGCACAGAAGACAAGGCAAGCAAGAUGGUUGGCAGAAUCAGUCUUUGUUACAGCCAUUAUGGUAGUUGAGAAUUUAUAUCACAUAAAAUGGCAGAGAUCAAUAUCCUUA
RNAcentral lists this unclassified non-coding RNA (554 nucleotides) under Hevea brasiliensis (rubber tree). The record is from RNAcentral. Lineage: Eukaryota; Viridiplantae; Streptophyta; Magnoliopsida; Malpighiales; Euphorbiaceae.